GUUUGAUCCUGGCUCAGAACGAACGCUGGCGGCAGGCUUAACACAUGCAAGUCGAGCGCUCGCAGCAAUGCGGGAGCGGCAGACGGGUGAGUAACGCGUGGGAACAUACCCUUCGGUUCGGAAUAGCUCAGGGAAACUUGAAUUAAUACCGGAUACGGCCAGAAGUGAAAAUUUCUGGCGAAAGAUUUAUCGCCGAAGGAUUGGCCCGCGUUCGAUUAGCUAGUUGGUGAGGUAACGGCUCACCAAGGCGACGAUCGAUAGCUGGUCUGAGAGGAUGAUCAGCCACAUUGGGACUGAGACACGGCCCAAACUCCUACGGGAGGCAGCAGUGGGGAAUAUUGGACAAUGGGCGCAAGCCUGAUCCAGCCAUGCCGCGUGAGUGAUGACGGCCUUAGGGUUGUAAAGCUCUUUCGCUAGGGACGAUAAUGACGGUACCUAGACAAGAAGCCCCGGCUAACUUCGUGCCAGCAGCCGCGGUAAUACGAAGGGGGCUAGCGUUGUUCGGAAUUACUGGGCGUAAAGCGCGUGUAGGCGGGCUUUUAAGUCAGGGGUGAAAUGCCAAGGCUCAACCUUGGAACUGCCUUUGAUACUGGAAGUCUUGAGUCCGGGAGAGGUGAGUGGAACUGCGAGUGUAGAGGUGAAAUUCGUAGAUAUUCGCAAGAACACCAGUGGCGAAGGCGGCUCACUGGCCCGGAACUGACGCUGAGACGCGAAAGCGUGGGGAGCAAACAGGAUUAGAUACCCUGGUAGUCCACGCUGUAAACGAUGGAUGCUAGCCGUUGGGGAGCUUGCUCUUCAGUGGCGCAGCUAACGCUUUAAGCAUCCCGCCUGGGGAGUACGGUCGCAAGAUUAAAACU
Molecule: ribosomal RNA, 857 nt
Filed under: uncultured Alphaproteobacteria bacterium
Lineage: Bacteria; Pseudomonadati; Pseudomonadota; Alphaproteobacteria
Description: bacterial SSU rRNA
Rfam family: Bacterial small subunit ribosomal RNA
Source: RNAcentral